ACGCGACUCUCGGCAACGGAUAUCUCGGCUCUCGCAUCGAUGAAGAACGUAUCGAAAUGCGAUACCUGGUGUGAAUUGCAGAAUCCCGCGAACCAUCGAGUCUUUGAACGCAAGUUGCGCCCGAGGCCACCCGGCCGAGGGCACGCCUGCCUGGGCGUCACGC
RNAcentral lists this ribosomal RNA (163 nucleotides) under Thyrsostachys oliveri. RNAcentral's name for it is "5.8S ribosomal RNA". It matches the Rfam family "5.8S ribosomal RNA". From Rfam's summary of the family: 5.8S ribosomal RNA (5.8S rRNA) is a component of the large subunit of the eukaryotic ribosome. It is transcribed by RNA polymerase I as part of the 45S precursor that also contains 18S and 28S rRNA. The record is from RNAcentral. Lineage: Eukaryota; Viridiplantae; Streptophyta; Magnoliopsida; Poales; Poaceae.